UGGCGGACGGAGGCUCCCGCCUGGCUCAUGCUCAUCUGCAUGCGAAGGCCGCGUGGGUCCCGGGGCGCAACCCGGCAGCUCCGCGGGGGUCACGGAGCCGACACGGAUUUGGAUCCCAAGGGGCUCAGGCUCCGAAGGCCUCUCGGCUCACGAAGUCCGCGGGGCCCAGGCCCCGUCUAUGCCGGGAGCGGCCUCGGGCCCCGCUUCGGGGGCGGCACAAGGGCUAGGGUCUGAGGUCCGGGAUCCCUGCGAUGGGAACCAAGGCUUCAGGUUGCCGAGACCCACGGAGGCUCCACUCUGUCGGAUUCGUGUCCCUGCGCCCCAGAACCCGACUUGCUGGCCCACGGCAGCGACCGCUUACGUCAGGUGCCCCGAGACUGCGGAAGCCGAGACGGAGACGGGGAAGUAAAUUCUCCUGAUUCUUAAACGGUGGCAACUAAUUUAAAGAAGAUGUUAAGUCCUCUUGUCCACCGAGCAACAGGGAUCUGGAACCUGACUUGGCCCAAGCCGGCUGGUGCCCCCGACUCUGGGACAUCUUCCCACGGGUUCUCGAUUUCUCAAUAUUCAGUCACAGAACGAGAAAACACAGAAAGAGGAAUUGGCUGGUUGGCGCGUUGGUGGCCCUUACGACCGUGUCAACUACCGAGCCUCGUCGCUCUCCUAGAGCAAACUUUUCUCACCACCCUCAAACAAGCCUCGUAGCAGCCAUUGCCCUCCGUGCACGCACAUAACCCGCCCACAGAGUCCUGCUUUCUUCCUAAGAGUUGUCUCUGGCCUGCCUCCAGCGAUCUGCCAGGAAGUUACAGGCUACGCACCCUUCAGCAAUGCGACUGAACUUCCGUUGUUUUUGGAAGAUGAAUUUAGAGGUGCUUUUCCAAUUACCAGCAGUGGUCAGAGAGACGGAGACAAAAGACUGCUGACUCUUUGCCUUGGCACGCACGGGCCCUCGCACCAGCGGGAGCUGGUUGUUGUGUCUUAGUGAUGAAUGCAGGGAAUCAGCAGCUUAAAAACCAAUUAGCUUUCUGCUUCUUUCGCUCAUGCGGGACAGCGCUGCGCGGGGUUUGGCUGCUUGAGAGUGGAGUUCAAACCGGGCCAGGCGUGGAAGUUAAGCUAGCAGAACUGAUGAAAGGAGCCGGUUUCAAGGACGUCCGUGCUCUUAGCGCCAUCAAAAUGUUCAUCUCAUUUCAUGGAACGCUUCUGAGUCGGAAUCGUCAGUACAGACGUUAAGGAUGCAGCAGCUAUUGACGCCUGUUCUAGGUCAUCACGCCUGAAGACACCAUGGGGCUUUAAUCUGAGAGUGGAAGUUUUUCUGUAUAGCUGUUGCUAUCUGCAAAUAUUUAUAAGGGGGACAGGCCUCAGGGCGCCCGAUUCAUCUCAGCUGUUAGGGUGAAGAGACAGACUUGGUACAGAAGCCCAGCUCCGCGAACGGCUUGGGGUACUGAAUUGCUGGGAAGAGUUUGGGUUUUGGAGCCUCAGAGAUCUGGCUUCAGUCUUCAGGCAAGCUUCUCAUCCACCCGGGACCUGUUUCCUCAUCUGAACAUUGGGGAGCUGGGGGAGAUGAUUCAUGUGCUCCUUUCCAGCCUUUACCACCCGUCGACUUCCAAGGAUCUCUUGCUGUCUGUCCUCUUUCUUUCUUAGCAUCCCCCUGGAACAUCCCACCCGACACCUUGUUGCUGGCACCCGUAGGAAUAGAACGCACUGCCUUAUGUAA
Canis lupus familiaris (dog) is the source of this 1711-nucleotide long non-coding RNA. RefSeq lists it as uncharacterized. The record is from RefSeq and is a predicted model, not a curated record. NCBI's taxonomy places the organism in Eukaryota, Metazoa, Chordata, Mammalia, Carnivora, Canidae. The transcript is spliced from 6 exons.